UACAGAGGGGGCAAGCGUUGUUCGGAAUUACUGGGCGUAAAGGGCGCGUAGGCGGCCUUCUAAGUCGAACGUGAAAUCCCCGGGCUCAACCCGGGAACUGCGUCCGAUACUGGCAGGCUUGAAUCCGGGAGAGGGAUGUGGAAUUCCAGGUGUAGCGGUGAAAUGCGUAGAUAUCUGGAGGAACACCGGUGGCGAAGGCGGCGAUCCUGGACCGGUAUUGACGCUGAUGCGCGAAAGCCAGGGGAGCAAACGGG
This 254-nucleotide ribosomal RNA is filed under the name uncultured bacterium. RNAcentral describes it as "partial 16S ribosomal RNA". It matches the Rfam family "Bacterial small subunit ribosomal RNA", at positions 524 to 776 of the family's 1533-position model. The record is from RNAcentral.